UAUCAGGCCAGGCCCUUUAUGCUACAGUUUCAUAGUUGGAAAUGUCUUCACUGCCUUUGACACCUCAUUCUGGUAGCAGUGGCAAAUCCACACGGGUCUGCAGCAACUGGAUUCUUGCCUCCUCGGAGGAAAGAAUUCGGCCAAGAGGCACAAGACAGAGGGAGAGACCCAGACAAGUUUUCGAACAGGACUAAAAGUUUAUUAAAAAGUUAUGGAGCAGGAACAAAAGGAAGUAAAGUACACUUGGAAGAGAGCCAAGAGGGCCACUUGGGAGGUCCAAGUGCCUUGUCUACCCCUUGACUCGGGUUCUGUAAUUGACUGGUUCCCAGGUUUGCAUUUCUUCUCCCCGAUUCUCCUCUCUGAGUGAGCAGUCUACCUAUGCAGUGGCCUGCCAGCACCUGGGAGGAGCUGCACGUGCAGCGUGUUUACUGAAGCUGUGUGUAUGCUCACUUGAGGCAUUUUGCCCUUACCAGUCAAGCGGUCCUAAAGGAAGGUUACAUGCCAGUUACACUCUGCCAUUUUGCCUCUUAGUGUGCACACUUGAGCCCAUUUGUCCGACUCCUGAGAUCUUACUGGGAAGCUGCUGAUCACCAGCUUCAGCUGUUUUCUGUUAGGAGACUACCUUUUCCUGGCACCAGCUGCAACCAAUUACCAUUUUAAAGAGACAGUUUAACAGGUGUCUGGCCAACACCUGAUGGUCACCUGACAUUCCUGGGGCCAAGUGAGGGUCUCUCUUGCCCCGCUCAUGUCUGCUUAACUACCUACUCUUAACAAUUCCGAGUUGCAGCAAAAGAAUCUUAGCAAAAUAUUUCCUAGUGAGACAUCAGCAAUAGCAGCAAUGUGACCAAGUAAUGGGGCUGGAGAGGGCCAAAAUAAAAGCCUCCUUCUAUCCCCUUCCUUCCAGAAUAGAGAGAGGAUACGGGAAUCUGGGGAUCACAUGUGUCCAGUUCUAUUUUCCCGAGCUUACACCUUCCAGUAAGCACACUGUAACCUGGGGUAGAGGAAGAAGGCUGGGGGUUGAAAGAGGAGCAGCUAGGCAUCAGUUCAAAUUAGCCCCUGGCUCAGAAACAGGACAACAAGACGGGGAGACCUGAAGCGACCAAAAGAAAGUCCAGGGUGCUCUGAACAUGACUUCCCACGCCAAACACAGUGCUAAGUCUCACGCUCUCACAGCCUACUGCACUUACUUCUGUCUGCGGUUUUGGCUUCACUCUACAGAGUAAAACGACUGAAUCAUCUUCACACAGUUGUGAACUAUACGCUCAUCUUGAUCUUCAUCAUUCAAUAAAUAAAAGAAAAGCAAUAAAAGAAUAAACUCUUUCUGUUCAUCUCGGCUAGGAGCACAGCAGAUGAUCAUCUCACUUUCAGUGUGAGCACUCUGAGUAUAGAUAGUAUUUAAUGAAUGGCAGCCACCAUCAGAUAGAAAGCAGGAUGGUCCCCAAGAACAGGCUUAUGGUCAGAGAUGGAAUGCAUGGACUGCUAACCUGCAUGCCUAUUGAGGUCCAGUAGGAGACUUAAAGAAUGAGGCUAAGGCUGGAACACAGGGAGGGCUGGGGGAAGGGAACAUCCCCAGCGGAAGGCAACAGGUGAUGGCGGUCACAUGCAAUUGGUGCAGUGCUGGCCAGUCUCCUGAUUUCUGCAUAACAUAAUUGAGAAGCCCGUCAUCUUUCUUACAAGCUUAAAGAUAAGAAUCAGUUCCACAGGGACGCUCUUGGGAUAGUUGAGUGUCUUCAGAACAGGGAAGCCAUUUACCGAAGGAAGAGGCCACACCCAGAAACCAGAGCUGAGUGCCCCGCAGUGCUGGAAGAGGUGACUCCGAAAACCAGGACAAUACCCAACCUGUCAAUUCCCAUCCUUAAAGAGGAGCGUGUUAUCAGGUGGAGAUAAGUUCCAGGGUGUAUUUCAGGACAAGAGUAUUUUGAUAUUCCUCGGAUUUGAUUGUGCAAAGCAACUGCCUAUACAGUUGUCCUAUGGCCCAAUUUGAUAUACAGCUCAACUCCUCUCCUCUUAGGGACGACAUCAGCUGCAACCGCUUCAAAAAAGAAUACCCAGACGGUUGGAGAAACAGAAGGAUACCCAUGUCAACAAAAUAAUAAAUUUUACACAAGCCCCUUUGAUCCUGGAAAGGCCCAAUUAGAAAAGGC
Molecule: long non-coding RNA, 2144 nt
Organism: Callithrix jacchus (white-tufted-ear marmoset)
Lineage: Eukaryota; Metazoa; Chordata; Mammalia; Primates; Cebidae
Source: Ensembl